CACCUGCAGGAUAUAACAUAUCUAGCCAGAGGGAAAAAAUUCGUUACCAUCGAGGUACACCUAAAAACAUUGAAACUGCACAAUUACACUCAGUAAAAUCCUUGGAAACAGAAGAUGUAAUUUUAAUACUAAUAUACAUGGGUGUGAAGACAUCCAAAAUACGAAUACCAAAGGUCCUCCUCAAGUCGACCCUAUGUGGUUGAUGGCGGCAGUCCUGGCAAAGGAGAUAGAUG
Octopus sinensis (East Asian common octopus) is the source of this 233-nucleotide long non-coding RNA. RefSeq lists it as uncharacterized. The record is from RefSeq and is a predicted model, not a curated record. The transcript has 3 exons. Lineage: Eukaryota; Metazoa; Mollusca; Cephalopoda; Octopoda; Octopodidae.